CCUACGGGUGGCUGCAGUGAGGAAUUUUGGUCAAUGGCCGUAAGGCUGAACCAGCUAAUCCGCGUGAAGGAAGACGGAUCUAUGGUUUGUAAACUUCUUUUAUAGGGGAAUAAAGGUAUCCACGUGUGGAUAUUUGCAUUUACCCUAUUAUUAAGCUUCGGCUCACCACGUGCCAGCAGCCGCGGUGAUACGGAGGAUGCGAGCGUUAUCCGGAUUUAUUGGGUUUAAAGGGUGGGUAGGUUGUUUUUUAAGUCAGCGGUGAAAGUUUGUGGCUCAACCAUAAAAUUGCCGUUGAUACUGGAAGACUAGAGUGUGUUUGAGGUGGGCGGAAUGCGUGGUGUAGCAGUGAAAUGCAUAGAUAUCACGCAGAACUCCGAUUGCGAAGGCAGCUUACUGAGCCAUAACUGACACUGAAGCACGAAAGCGUGGGGAUCAAACAGGAUUAGAUACCCGAGUAGUC
Molecule: ribosomal RNA, 460 nt
Filed under: uncultured bacterium
Lineage: Bacteria
Description: partial 16S ribosomal RNA
Rfam family: Bacterial small subunit ribosomal RNA
Source: RNAcentral